GACGAACGCUGGCGGCGUGCCUAAUACAUGCAAGUAGAACGCUGGAGGAGGAGCUUGCUCUUCUGGAUGAGUUGCGAACGGGUGAGUAACGCGUAGGUAACCUGCCUGGUAGCGGGGGAUAACUAUUGGAAACGAUAGCUAAUACCGCAUAAGAGUAGAUGUUGCAUGACAUUUACUUAAAAGGUGCAAUUGCAUCACUACCAGAUGGACCUGCGUUGUAUUAGCUAGUUGGUGGGGUAACGGCUUACCAAGGCGACGAUACAUAGCCGACCUGAGAGGGUGAUCGGCCACACUGGGACUGAGACACGGCCCAGACUCCUACGGGAGGCAGCAGUAGGGCAUCUUCGGCAAUGGACGGAAGUCUGACCGAGCAACGCCGCGUGAGUGAAGAAGGUUUUCGGAUCGUAAAGCUCUGUUGUAAGAGAAGAACGAGUGUGAGAGUGGAAAGUUCACACUGUGACGGUAUCUUACCAGAAAGGGACGGCUAACUACGUG
RNAcentral lists this ribosomal RNA (495 nucleotides) under uncultured bacterium. Its description in RNAcentral is "partial 16S ribosomal RNA". It matches the Rfam family "Bacterial small subunit ribosomal RNA", at positions 28 to 507 of the family's 1533-position model. The record is from RNAcentral.